Molecule: long non-coding RNA, 1390 nt
Organism: Cygnus olor (mute swan)
Lineage: Eukaryota; Metazoa; Chordata; Aves; Anseriformes; Anatidae
Exons: 3
Source: RefSeq, a predicted model, not a curated record
GUGGUAUACAUUAAUAACAAUAACAACAACAACAAAAAAUAGAAACAAAAUGUUGAUUUGAACCUUCUGAGCUGAUAUGAGCUUUUUGCAUUGCCCCUCCACCAUCAGCAGGCUGCGGUACAAAUCCCGAGUUUCGCAGCCGAGGAAAUGAGGCAAAGCCUUUCCUAUUCCUAGAGCUUCCCCAGCCGCCCGAAGAGGCAGGCUUUGUCCCUGAGGCUGGGCUGUGAGGGGAGAAAAGCUGUGUAGUUCAUUAUCAACCCAAAAAACUAUCAAUCUUCCCUCUCGACCUGCUAUAGCGCCGCGGCUGUGUAUGCCGGUUGCUAACAACAGCUGCUGGAGUGGGUGAUAUUUUCCUUAGAAACCAUCCUUGCAUAGCUUUUUGUGUUUGUCUUGCCUGCUUUCUUUUAUUUUUUUUUUCUUCUUUCUCCCUGCAUCUUGCUGAGAGGGAAGGAGCCAGCUGGUGGGUCAUGGGGCUUCUCCCUCACUAUCCGGGUAGCUCCUGCUAAGGGGGUUUGCAGGGGUUGGACAUGGAGAGAGUGAUAGGCAGUAUGCUUGUGUGUUACUGCCCUCUGAUGGCACUCCACAGGAAAUACCAUCGGAAAAAAUACAGUUUUCCAACCCUUCUUCUCCAUGAGCAGAUAAGCAAGAAGCAUCGGCUGCAAGCCCCAAAAUGGUGUUUGUAGGCAUGGGACACAUGGGUUUGUGACUACACGGUUAGUGUCACAAGCUGUAGUUCGUCACUUCAACACAAUCUGCAUUUCACAAUUGGAAUACGACAUCAAAUUAGACUCUGAGGAAUCUUGUGUUUUUAGUUUCCCUGUGAAAACAGAAACUUUCCCAAGGGAAAGCUCAGCAAGUCUGCGAUAUCCUGUUCCAAAGGUUAAGGAAAGUCAGAAAAAAUGUUGUCAUCUGACAAUGGUAAGACCAGUAAAAUCGCCAAGCAGAUCAUCUCACUUUCGAAACUGGAUGCUUUUUUCCAGCUGCAGUCCAGAAAUACACCGUGGAAUCUGGAAGUGAAGGGACUCAGGCACACACAAAUGACCCAGAAGGCCUGCUGGGUUAGGUCUGAACAAGAACAUCAUGUCUUAGUCUGAAGAGAUCAUCUCAAGGCAGCCGUUCACUUUGGGACAACCAUUCACAAUAUGGGACCACCAGAGCCAUCUCCAGAACCCUUACCAGGGUUGGAUGGGAGGUAAGUAAAUUGGUCAUAGGCAACACAAUGUCUCCUGCUGCAAAGAAUUGGAGUGCAAGCAGAAGACAUAGGCUAUGCUGUUGGAGAGAGGUCAGUGACUGCUGUCUUCCAUAGGAACAGCCUGACUGCUCAGGGCUGCUGCAAUCUGGCCCUAGUGGUGGAAAUGCAAAGGAAGAGGCUUGGAUUUCUGGAUUUUCU